UUAUCAUUGUGUGAGUGGGUUAGUUAUCACAAGAGUGUGUCUGUUAUAAAAAGCCAGGUUGGUUCUCUCUCAUGAGCCCCCUCACCAUGUGAUGUCCCAAGCUGCCUUGGGACUCUGCAGAGGGUCCCCAUAAGAGGAAGGCCCCGACUAGAUGGAAUCCUUUGUCCCUGGACUUCUCAGCCUCCAGAACUCUUUCCCAUUGAGUGUUUUCAAUGGGAAAUGUCUAACUGCUCUGUGGGUGUACACCACGGCCAGUUGCUAAUUUUGGAACACUUGUGAAUCCUGGGCCCAGAGUCAUGACCAAUACUGGAUUCCCCAGGAUCAACCAUCUGAGCAGAUACCUUGGAAUGUCCCCAGAUUUCAGAGCCUCGGACCAGCAGCAACACACUCUGAAGUAGGUCUCAGAAGACAAAAAGCUGAAAUCAACUCAUGCUUCCUGCUACACAGAAUCCACUGAGAGGAAAAGGAAACUUCACCGAAACUUCAGAAAGCUACAGAAAUGACAUCCAUUUUCACAAUCCCAGAAGGAAAGAUGCAUCUGAAGGGAAUAAAAACAGAGCAAUGGAAGAGUAUUUGUUAAAAUAAAUGGCUUUGACAGGGCAUUUUCUCUAAAGGUCUCCUUUGCCUCAAAUAGUACUCCUGCCUUCAGUCCAUCUUGCAUGCCACCCAGCUGUGG
RNAcentral lists this long non-coding RNA (676 nucleotides) under Homo sapiens (human). RNAcentral describes it as "HSALNT0298097". The record is from RNAcentral. Lineage: Eukaryota; Metazoa; Chordata; Mammalia; Primates; Hominidae.